GACGAACGCUGGCGGCGUGCUUAACACAUGCAAGUCGAACGGAAAGGCCCUGCUUUUGUGGGGUGCUCGAGUGGCGAACGGGUGAGUAACACGUGAGUAACCUGCCCUUGACUUUGGGAUAACUUCAGGAAACUGGGGCUAAUACCGGAUAGGAGCUCCUGCUGCAUGGUGGGGGUUGGAAAGUUUCGGCGGUUGGGGAUGGACUGGCGGCUUAUCAGCUUGUUGGUGGGGUAGUGGCUUACCAAGGCUUUGACGGGUAGCCGGCCUGAGAGGGUGACCGGCCACAUUGGGACUGAGAUACGGCCCAGAAUCCUACGGGACGCAGCAGUGGGGAAUAUUGCACAAUGGGCGGAAGCCUGAUGCAGCAGCGCCGCGUGCGGGAUGACGGCCUUCGGGUGGUAAACCGCUGUCGCCUGUGACGAAGCGUGAGUGACGGUAAUGGGUAAAGAAGCACCGGCUAACUACGUG
This 468-nucleotide ribosomal RNA is filed under the name uncultured bacterium. Its description in RNAcentral is "partial 16S ribosomal RNA". It matches the Rfam family "Bacterial small subunit ribosomal RNA", at positions 28 to 507 of the family's 1533-position model. The record is from RNAcentral.